Molecule: long non-coding RNA, 1753 nt
Organism: Amphiprion ocellaris (clown anemonefish)
Lineage: Eukaryota; Metazoa; Chordata; Actinopteri; Pomacentridae
Source: Ensembl
CACAAACAGGAAAUUCCAUCAUCACACACAGAAAUAUAAGAAACUCUUCAACAUUCGCCUGCUGAUCCAGAAUGACACAGAAUGGCUCGAACACAAUUAAUUCUCAUUUUUCUGCUUCAGUUUACAGCAGGCAUCAGUGGAAAUCGUUUUCUCUAUUACAGACUUGGAAAUGAUGUCACUCUGCCCUGUGAUGAUGUACCUCCAUCUACAACAAGAUGCUCCCUCAUUAGCUGGCUUUACAACAGACGCACAGACUCUCAGACCACAACCAAGGUGAAGAAAGGAAAAGUUAAUCAGAACUUACCUGGAGCAGAGAGACUGAGUCUGAGCAGAAACUGCUCUCUGAUCAUCAACAACAUCACUGCUGAGGAUGCUGGUCGUUACGUCUGUCGGAUUGGGGAUGUCGCUGAGUUUGACAGAUUAGUGCAUCUAAAUAUCCUGACCAUCUCUCCAUCUCCACCAGAUGCUGAUCCAAAGACAGACGAUGAGGUCACAUUAAAAUGCUCUCUAUUGAGAUUCGGUUCUUGUCCACUGAACAGCAUCCGUUGGGUGGAUGAGAAAGGAACUGUGCUGCUUGGUGAAGGUGAUGGGUUCAAGUUUGAUGGACAGACGGACUGUGUUUCUCUUCUGACAGUGAAGCAUCAGAGCAGCCACAACCAACAGAAGAUACACCUGCCAGUUUAUUGAGAGAAACAUUGUGAAGAUAGAUGCUCACUACACACCUGUAGAAGUGACCAGCAACAACACCAUCAUCAUCGUCAGUGUUGUGGUCGGGAUGCUGGUGGUGCUGGGUCGUCAUCACUGCUGUUCUCAUCAAAUGCAGGAGGCGAGCCAAAAUGACGGAGGAUGCUCAAAAACCAACCCAAGCCCAAGAUGAACCAGGAGGUAAUCUGACCUACGUCACUAUCAACCACGCUAAUUACAAUCCGAAGAAAAAGGUCAAAGUGAAGGAGGAAGCAGUGACUUAUUCUACAAUCAAGACCACAGUGAAGAUGGAGGCCAACAUUGAUCCCAGCAGCUUCUACAGCUCUGUCAGAUGAGUUUAUCACAAUGAAUGACUGGAAAUGAGACUUCUCUUAGUGUCAGCUGUGUCUGUCUUCUGUUGGCUUUGCUUUACGCUCUGGAAAAGAUAAAAUCUGCAAAGUAGAACUGGCUGCGUUUAUGGUUUUUAUCACAUUGGAUUAUAAAUUAUGUCACAUUGCUAAAGACUGUAGCUCUCAGUUUUUACUAUGAUAGAAGCUUUUUUUGCACUUUUUUGGUAAUAUAUUGUAUAUUGUAAAGGCUGGAUUUAAUCCUGUGCUGUUAUUUGUAGGACUGUGAACUGAACUUUUUCUUCUUCUUGUGCUUUUGUGUCAUAUUUACUGCUGUUAUGAUCUGCUAUAAAUGUCUUCAGAUGUUAUUGUUAUGGAAUGUUUCGCUCCUCAGGGACAAAAUAAGUGACUCACUUGAAAAUUGUUAUUAAAAUUCCGACUUGAACCUGUGAAUAUUUCAACUUUACAUUGACAUUUAAAUAAACAUUGAAUCAAAUUAAAACGAUUACAGUAGGUGUGUUUAUAGCAGUGCUGUUUCCUGUUUUAUUUCUAGCUAAGAAUCCUUAGAUUAUUCCACUGUAUGGAAAUCAACUCAGACUUAAUUUCUAAAGAUGGUAGUCUUACCUAAUUUACAUUUAAAUCUUCCUGAUGAUCCUUUGAACGGCAUUCAGACAUCCAACAACUGAACUGCUAUAUAUCAUUCUCUCCAUAAACAAAUAUGC